AAUACCGGAUGCUUGUUUGAACCGCAUGGUUCAAACAUAAAAGGUGGCUUCGGCUACCACUUACAGAUGGACCCGCGGCGCAUUAGCUAGUUGGUGAGGUAACGGCUCACCAAGGCAACGAUGCGUAGCCGACCUGAGAGGGUGAUCGGCCACACUGGGACUGAGACACGGCCCAGACUCCUACGGGAGGCAGCAGUAGGGAAUCUUCCGCAAUGGACGAAAGUCUGACGGAGCAACGCCGCGUGAGUGAUGAAGGUUUUCGGAUCGUAAAGCUCUGUUGUUAGGGAAGAACAAGUACCGUUCGAAUAGGGCGGUACCUUGACGGUACCUAACCAGAAAGCCACGGCUAACUACGUGCCAGCAGCCGCGGUAAUACGUAGGUGGCAAGCGUUGUCCGGAAUUAUUGGGCGUAAAGGGCUCGCAGGCGGUUCCUUAAGUCUGAUGUGAAAGCCCCCGGCUCAACCGGGGAGGGUCAUUGGAAACUGGGGAACUUGAGUGCAGAAGAGGAGAGUGGAAUUCCACGUGUAGCGGUGAAAUGCGUAGAGAUGUGGAGGAACACCAGUGGCGAAGGCGACUCUCUGGUCUGUAACUGACGCUGAGGAGCGAAAGCGUGGGGAGCGAACAGG
RNAcentral lists this ribosomal RNA (626 nucleotides) under Bacillus amyloliquefaciens. Its description in RNAcentral is "bacterial SSU rRNA". It matches the Rfam family "Bacterial small subunit ribosomal RNA", at positions 165 to 776 of the family's 1533-position model. The record is from RNAcentral. Lineage: Bacteria; Bacillati; Bacillota; Bacilli; Caryophanales; Bacillaceae.